AUGAUGCGCGCCAAGGGCAAAGCUACAUUCUUGGACGCCAUGAAGGAGACCACCUCCCCCGUCUCCCCCGCCGCCGCGGCCAAGGAGGCGCUCAAGGAGGACGAGUGGGAGGUGCGGCCCGGCGGGAUGCUGGUGCAGAAGCGCGACCCGGGCUCCGACGCGCCCGCGGGCGCCCCCGUGCCCACCAUCCGCCUCAAGGUCAAGUUCAACGCCGUCUCCCACGAGAUCUACAUCAGCUCCCAGGCCUCCUUCGGCGACGUGAAGAAGAUGAUGUCGGAGAAGACCGGCCUGCACCACGAGGACCAGAAGGUGCUCUACAAGGGCAAGGAGAUGGACUCCAAGGCCUUCCUCGACAUGUCCGGCGUCAAGGACCGCUCCAAGCUGGCGCUCCUCGAGGACCCCGACGCGCAGGCCAAGCGCCUCAUCGAGCAGCGCCGCGCCGACAAGGCGCACCGCGCCUCCAAGUCCGUCUCCCGCAUCAGCCUCGACGUCGACAAGCUCGCCACCAAGGUGUCGGCGCUGGAGGCCAUCGUGCGCAAGGGCGGGAAGGUGGUGGAGGCCGACGUGGUCGCCCUCACCGAGGCGCUCAUGACGGAGCUGGUCAAGCUGGACGCCAUCGCCGCCGACGGCGAGGUCAAGGCGCAGCGGCGAUUGCAGGAGAAGCGGGUGCAGAAGUACGUGGAGACGCUGGACGUCAUCCGCGCCAAGAACGCGGCGGCGCCCAAGGCCAACGGCACCGGCAAUGGCCAAGCCAAGGGCGACCGGUCGCUGCACCUGCCGCCGCGGCCGCCGCCCGUGUCGCAGCGGCGGCAGUUCAAGCAGCAGCCCGCGCCGGCGACCGGCAAGGCGGCGGCGGCGCCGCCCACGGCGAGCUGGGAGACGUUCGACCUGCUGUCGUCAAUGCCGUCGACGUCCUCGGCCACGGCGACCACCACCAUGGCGGCCGCGACGACCACGACGAAGCCGGCCAGCAACAACAACAGCACCUCGCCGAUCCCGCGGUUCGACUGGGAGCUCUUCUAG
RNAcentral lists this ribosomal RNA (1023 nucleotides) under Triticum aestivum (bread wheat). RNAcentral describes it as "partial small subunit ribosomal RNA". The record is from RNAcentral. Lineage: Eukaryota; Viridiplantae; Streptophyta; Magnoliopsida; Poales; Poaceae.